AUUGGAAGACAGCGAAGCAGCCGCAUUUAUCUACUUCCUGUGCCAUCCCACACCCCCGAAUUCGGAUUUCAGAUUCUGCAAUCAUGGGCUCACCGAACGAUAAGGAGGAAGAGGGCACUCGCGAGCCUUUUCAUUCCUUGGAAGUGAGGGGCCAGGUGCCAGCGGCAUCUGCCUUGACGUCAAUGAUUUCCACGAACAUGUCCCCAAAGGAACAGCUCUCAAAUGGCAAAUCGAUCACACAGGCCAAUGCUGACUUACCGCUGAUAUCGGCUGCUGCUGAUUCACCCUCAAUGACGCUAAAGAAGCGCUCUUCGGCGCCGGAGUUGCCGACAUCUCUCGACGAAGACGAGGAGGAGGACUCUCCGCAGCCACUGUCGAACACGCCGUUUUUCUCGAUGAAGAACCUGAUCGUCGCGACUCCCAUUAUUCUCACACCGUUGCUUUAUGGUUACAACCUCGGAUUUGUUGGUCCGUACUCCACGAUGUACGGGUAUGCCUCCAACUGCCAGCUGUACAGCGCUAAAAAGUCGUGCGAGACGCUGACAGCAGCGAAGUGCCGGUGGUUCAACGCGUCGACGUAUGUGAGCAAUACAACGUAUGGCGAGGUGUGCGGGUGGGCGGACAGGACGACGUGCUUCCUGAAGUACAGCGACGAGGCGGGCUGCUUGUCAGACUCUGCAUGCAAGUGGAGCUACUCUGCCAACACCUGCGGCAACCAGGUGGGCUAUUCCUCGAUUCAGAGCGGCGUUUUCGCUGGGUCGUUGGUGAUCGGAUCCACGAUGGGCGCGCUGAUGGGCGGGUACCUGACAAAGCGUCUCGACUACUGCAAGAGCUUCUUGUUCAUUGGGCUUCUUAGCGUGAUCGGUAAUGUUCUGACGCACGUGGCAACGGGGCUGUUCCACUACUGGGUGUUGUUCGUUGCGCGUAUCGUGCUUGGCUUUCCCUUGGGUUGGCAGUCCAUCACGUCCUCGCACUACACGGACAAGUUUGCUCCUGCAAAUCAUGCCAAGACGCUCGGCACGCUGUUCCAGGUUUCGGUCUCGACCGGCAUUUUUGUUACGUCGUUCUUCGGUCUGGUUCUUGGCAACACGAUCCAGUACGAUGCGGCCAGCAAUGCUAAUACCAUGGGCCGCAUGCAAGGCCUCGUCUCUGUUUCCACGCUCCUCUCUAUUUUUGUGGUGUUCCUGCCACUCAUCACCAAGGACGGUUACAGCAAGAGCAGGAGGGGUGACUACGAGGGGGAAAACAGUGAAGAUGCUUCCAGGAAGGCGGCAGAGGAGUACACCAUGACGCAGAUGAUCGGGCCCAUCCUGAACGGUGUGGCCAUGGGGUGUGUGACGCAGCUGACCGGCAUCAACGCCAAUAUGAACUUCGCCCCGACCAUCAUGUCAAACCUUGGGCUGCAACCUCUGGUUGGCAACAUCAUCGUCAUGGCAUGGAACAUGCUCGCAACGUUCUGCGUGAUCCCGCUCUCGAGGAGGUUCUCGAUGCGGACCCUGUUCCUCUUCUGCGGCUUUGUCGGCUCUCUGUGCUGCGUCUUCCUUGGUGGCAUCCCGGUGUACCCCGGCGUUACAAAGUCGGACAAGGCCAUAAGCGGCAUUGCCAUUACUGGGAUUGCCAUCUUUAUCGCCCUUUACGAGAUGGGUGUGGGGCCGUGCUUCUACGUUCUGGCGGUGGACGUGUUCCCCGAGUCGUUCCGGCCUAUCGGCUCGUCUAUCACGGUGGGUGUGAUGUUUAUUUUCAACCUCAUCAUCAACAUUUGCUACCCGAUUGCGACGGAGGGCAUCUCUGGCGGUCCGUCGGGGAACCCGAACAAGGGCCAGGCCGUCGCGUUCAUUUUCUUUGGCUGCAUUGGCGUCGUGGCUUGUGUCAUCGAGUACUUCUUUCUGCAACCAUGGGUGGAACCAGAGGCUAAGAUGACGGAUGAUCUUGAUGGAGCGGCAGUACCGGAGGGGAAACACGACUGAGGUGGCGUAGGAACUGUGUAUGCGGUGGACGCACGGCUGUGCCGAGGUUUGGUUGCUUUGCUUAUUGUAGGUGCAUUUUGUGAGCUCCCUGAGUGUUCCCACAGCCAAACGGAACGGCAAGAGUGCCCUUUUCCCAGGCCGCUCUGUCGUGCGCUGCAGCCAACACAACGCAGACCGACUGCGGAGCACAGCGUGGGGCUGCCCCCUCCUACUUCAAACGUUCGUGAUCUUUCCUCUUCUGUUAGGUAUGACCACACAAACGCUGAGGAGGAGAGCUUCACACCCCACUGCUGACUCCGUACUUCCUUUUCUGUCUUGUUUUCUUCCGCCCCAUUUUCUGUUGCUUGUGUGGUCGUCUUUGCUUCAUAUAUGUAUCCUGUCGCUUUUUGUUGUUUAGCUUCCGACCGGCGCGCUCCUUUCCCUCUUUCCCUCUUACCUUUUCUCGUUUUUUUUUUGUCUUUCGUUGUCUCUACCCCCUCCUCCCCUUUCUCUCUCUGUGGUGAACAACCCGAUAUUUAACGCAGCUUCGGUUGCGUUUCUUGGAAGUUGACGCCCCCAGGCUUUCUUGUGUGGUGACUGAAGCCGAUUUUCAGAAGUGCCAGUUGCCGUGUGCGUGUGCUAGUUGUAAAAUGAUCAUCUUCUUCUGAGCUCGUUUGUGGUGUAUCUUGUCCUCCCAGCCUCCGUGUUGGAGCAGCCGCCGCAGCGGAGCACGAACUCAUUCAUAGUUACUUCCUCUUCCGUUUCUUUUCCUUCUCUCGUCUGGUCUCACCUCCCCACCCCACCCCUCCUCCUCCUUUAUGCGGGUGUUUUUUCUCAUCACCCAUCUAUUGUCCUGCACAAAUGUGAGUUCUCCUAUUGAGCUUUUUUUUCUCGUGUGCGCUCCUUCCCACGGAGCUGCGUUGCUGCUAGUGUUGUGUGCCCGCGUGAGUAUGCUCUGCCGGCCACAAUAUGCGAGACAUGACCAGAGCGAGAGAGGAGAAACGCUAAAGUUCCUUUUCCUCCUCUCUCGCGCUCUUUCCUCCCAUUCCCUUGGCGUUUUGAGGGCUUCGCCCGAACCCACCCACAGAAGCGUUAUCGCACACUGGGUGUGAAAAGGAAACCUGCAGUGGACAUACGCGAAAACAAAUAUUCAGAAGCCAAGGCAGCAUUUGAGAAAGGGCCAUGGCUGAACCAGCGACGUGAUCAUAUUUUUGAUGACCUCCUUCGUCCACUCCCCAAAAAGCACGGUAAGAGAGAGAAGCCGCCACCAGCAGCAGCUUUCACAUCUUCAGACGAACACACAUGUAAAGAAGUAUAUAUAUAUUUCUUGGGGGUCUCAGAAACCGCACACACGCACACACACCAAAAUGCCCAUAAAAACUCUCCCUCAUGGCUUUCUUUUUAUUUUUAAUCUGUGUCUUCCUUAAUCGUUUCGCCUUCGUUUUUUUUUUUUUGGUUUGUCUCGAUUGGAUUCGUUAAAGUGCUUAUGUGCAUGUGUAUGUGUAUGCUUGAGAGUGUGUCGUGUCGUGCUCUCUCUUUUUUUCUCUGCGUGCCUACCCACUUACCUGUCUCUCACGUCUCCUUUCUCAAAUCCUCUUUUCCAUCCUUCAGGGCAUCACAUGUGACACAACACACACCUACACAUGUACAGACUGGUACGGCCGUGUCGAUGUAUGUCUCUCACACAGCCUUCGUUUUACCUCCUUUUGUUUCCUGUUCAUCUAGGUCGUCAUCUUUUCUCCCACUCUUCUUUUCUCCCUUUUAUUUUUGCAGUUCCCUCCCUCGCUCCGCAACUGGCACCCUCGUUUCACGCGCAAUGCAACGACAUGCACAUGCUGUUGUCUUUUUUUGUCUGUUUGUAUCGGUGCAUGCAAACAGGCAAGCAGAAGCGUGUGGUUUGUGCACGAGCUGUGCAGACUGCGGCGUGUGUGGUGGCUCCAUAGAAAAGCUCCUUUCCUCCUUGUGUUACCCUUAUUACUAUGUUUUUUUUUUUUCUCUGUUUCCCACUCGUGGAAUACGAGAGUUGGUGUGGGGGGAUAUUUCAGGAACAGAUGGAAGAGGCUUCGACGUACAACCGCACUAAUACACACACGCACAUGCAGCAACACACACACACACACACAUACACACAAAAGGAGAAAAACAUCAAAAAGAGUGACGAAGACUGACGCAUAUAUUUACACACUAUAUGUGAGUAUAUACAUAGAUAUACUCACUUCACAGCGCCAGCUCUGAUUUUCACCCACACACACCCACACACACGUGCAUCCAAACGGAUGAGAAAGAAAGAUUCCUCUUUUUCAGGUGUGCUGUCUGUUGCAUUGUGCGUCUGCUACUGCCCUCCAGUGCAAUUUUUGUUUUACUUGCUCUUUUCAUGAUGUCGGUGCCUGUGCUGAUCCUCCCUUAUGCCUUCGUUUCUGUUGUUUCCCGAGGUAGAGCAAUGCAAAUAUGAAAAUAAAAAACAUUAAGCUAUUUGCCAUGUUACCUGCUCGUCUUAUUGCUGUCACCCUCCUUUCUUGUGCAUCCGGUCUUUUUCUUCUCCCAUCCGACCAGUGACUCUUCCAUAUAUAUAUAUAUAUAUAUAUAUAUAUAUCCGAGAGAGACACUCGCUGGCCUUUAGUUUCUCCUCUUCCUUCUUGCUCGCGUAUGUCCUCCUGUCCGAUUCGUUUGGCUCCUUCUGCAGGCGACGCUCCGUCCUGCGACAG
Molecule: unclassified non-coding RNA, 4651 nt
Filed under: Leishmania donovani
Lineage: Eukaryota; Euglenozoa; Kinetoplastea; Trypanosomatida; Trypanosomatidae
Description: gene:LdHU3.33.0380(CDS-product:glucose_transporte r/membrane_transporter_D2_putative)
Source: RNAcentral